This is a small nuclear RNA of Otolemur garnettii (small-eared galago), 99 nucleotides long. Lineage: Eukaryota; Metazoa; Chordata; Mammalia; Primates; Galagidae. The record is from Ensembl.
UCGCUUUGACAGCACAUACACUAAAACUAAAAAGGUAUAUGAUUAGCAUGGCCCCUGCACAAGGAUGACACGUAAAUUUCUGACAGUCCAUUAAAAAAA